GAUGAAGAACGCAGCGAAAUGCGAUAAGUAGUGUGAAUUGCAGAAUUCAGUGAAUCAUCGAAUCUUUGAACGCACAUUGCGCCCCUUGGUAUUCCAUGGGGCAUGCCUGUUCGAGCGUCAUUUGUACCUUCAAGCUCUGCUUGGUGUUGGGUGUUUGUCUCGCCUCUGCGUGUAGACUCGCCUUAAAACAAUUGGCAGCCGGCGUAUUGAUUUCGGAGCGCAGUACAUCUCGCGCUUUACACUCAUAACGACGACGUCCAAAAGUACAUUUUUACACUCUUGACCUCGGAUCAGGUAGGGAUACCCGCUGAACUUAAGCAUAUCAAUAAGCGGAGGA
Molecule: unclassified non-coding RNA, 337 nt
Filed under: soil metagenome
Description: partial contains 5.8S ribosomal RNA, internal transcribed spacer 2, and large subunit ribosomal RNA
Rfam family: 5.8S ribosomal RNA (bases 1-120)
Source: RNAcentral